Molecule: ribosomal RNA, 253 nt
Filed under: uncultured bacterium
Lineage: Bacteria
Description: partial 16S ribosomal RNA
Rfam family: Bacterial small subunit ribosomal RNA
Source: RNAcentral
UACGGGGUAGGUGCACGUUGUCCGGAAUUAUUGGGCGUAAAGAGCUCGUAGGCGGUUUGUCGCGUCUGGUGUGAAAAUCCAGGGCUUAACCCUGGACCUGCAUCGGGUACGGGCAGACUAGAGUGCGGUAGGGGAGAUCGGAAUUCCUGGUGUAGCGGUGAAAUGCGCAGAUAUCAGGAGGAACACCGGUGGCGAAGGCGGGUCUCUGGGCCGAUACUGACGCUGAGGAGCGAAAGCGUGGGGAGCGAACAGG